This 65-nucleotide transfer RNA is filed under the name Megaloprepus caerulatus. Its description in RNAcentral is "tRNA-Arg". The record is from RNAcentral. Lineage: Eukaryota; Metazoa; Arthropoda; Insecta; Odonata; Coenagrionidae.
UAAAUGAAAAGUGAAACCUCACAACCAGCUUCGACCUGGCAAUUGGCAUAAAUGCCUUCAUUUAA